UACAUAGACGGCAGUGGUGGGUGGUGGGCCAGAUUUGACGGGCAGGCGGACGUCCGUUCGUCGUCGGCGAGGUGAGCCGCGGAUCAGAAUCGAGGCUGAGGAUUGAUGCUCCUGCACCGAGGAGAACAGCCUGCCCAAAUUGCAUCAGUGCGUUUGAGAAGGCUCUUAAGAGUUAUUCUGGCAACCCAGCUGAGAAUGUGAUCACACUAGUUCUUGGCACUACUUUCGACUUUUUGGACGAGGCGUACGACUUCUACAAUUUGUAAUCGGUGGUCCUGUCUGAUCGGUGGAUUAGGAAGUUCGCUUUCCGUGUACUGGUUGAAGAACCGAAUUGAAUGCAGGACCGAGUCUUCUUGCCCAGGGCGUAGGUCAUUUGGAAGCUGAGCACUGCAGGAUAGAGGCAAGGAGCACCGGCGGCGAGGCACCAUGGAGUUUCUGAUGCAGCCGAUCGACAGAUCUGCUCUGCUUGAGGAAGUAGGUAAGAGUUUGGUGCCGCCCCCUGUGGCUGUGAAUGGCCCUACGGUGGCGGUUUUGGAGGUGGCGCAGCAGGGCGGAGGGCGAGGUGGCGCAGCAUCGGACGGUGGACAGCGACGAAGCACAAAUCUUCUCGGCGAAGGAGGCGGCGGCUGAAGAAGGGAGAGCUCCCCUCCGACUUCGGAGCUAUCAACGAGGAAGCUGAAUCCCUAAGCGUCGGGGUGUAACAAGAGGCUUAGGAUUGGUGCUGCCGCAGGAAGCAGAACACCGUGCCCAAAUCAAAUCAGUGCCGUUCGAGAAGGCAGCCAGGUGUUGUGGAGAGAACCCAGUUGAAAAUGUGAUCACACCAGCUUUUGGUACUACUUUUGACUCUCUGGGCGAAGCAUACGAGGUGAUUUCUACGAGGGGGAACCGAGGUGAGCUGCUAGAUUUCAUGAUCGAGGUGCUGCCAUUCUGAAGUGAGAUGGGGUGUCAGAUAUGCAUUAUAUAUGCAGUAGGUGUGCAUUUGCUGUGAAAGCAUUUCGUUGUGCGGAACAAACUAAAGAGAAAGUUUAGCUACCAUCCCCUUUGAUGUGGUGUGGCAGUGGUUUCCUGGGGUUUCCAUCGCACUGGACGGAAAUGUUAGCUGCCAUCCACUUGUUGUGGUGUGGUGUUGAUUUCCCAGGAUUUCCAGUGUUAGCCAUGGGCAUGUAUUUUGAGUAACUAAUGUGUGUUUAGGCUCGCAUCCAGAAACCAGUGGCGGAUCUAGAACUACACGAUAGGAGUGCCAUGCUCAAUACUCACGUAUUUAAACACUAAUAGUACACCCAAAUGAGCCUAACUACUAGUAUAUAAUAAGUAUACUUUGCAUUUUCGCAGGGGGUGCCAUGGAACCCAUGGAACCCCAAUUGGAUCCGCCUCUGGCAGAAACAUCUGUCACAUAAGUAGUUGUGUUCGGACCAGGAUGUGGAUAUGUUAAGUUUGGAUGUAUGAUUAUGUGUGAGAA
Long non-coding RNA from Triticum aestivum (bread wheat), 1459 nucleotides. RefSeq lists it as uncharacterized. The transcript is spliced from 4 exons. NCBI's taxonomy places the organism in Eukaryota, Viridiplantae, Streptophyta, Magnoliopsida, Poales, Poaceae. The record is from RefSeq and is a predicted model, not a curated record.